Long non-coding RNA from Arabidopsis thaliana (thale cress), 222 nucleotides. RefSeq annotates it as other RNA. The transcript has a single exon. Lineage: Eukaryota; Viridiplantae; Streptophyta; Magnoliopsida; Brassicales; Brassicaceae. The record is from RefSeq.
UCAAAGUGGCUAAAUACCUCCCAAACAAAUUAAUUUGGUUUAAAGCUGGAAAUAAUGUUUUGAAGUCAAACAAUGAUUCAAUCACGGAAGCCUACCAAAAAAAUAAAAUGAUCCAAUCACGGAAGACGGCAGUUAACAAACGCCGUUAAAGAAACUGAUCACACCGUAAGACUCGAGCCAAAUAUAAUUAACGGAGUUAGGCUGCUUCUUCACACCUUCGUU